This 29-nucleotide non-coding RNA is filed under the name Homo sapiens (human). The record is from RNAcentral. Lineage: Eukaryota; Metazoa; Chordata; Mammalia; Primates; Hominidae.
CACGGUGGAGCUGCCUCAGGGCUGUCGGU